AUUGAACGCUGGCGGUAUGCUUAAGACAUGCAAGUCGAACGGAAACGAUGGGAGCUUGCUCCCAGGCGUCGAGUGGCGGACGGGUGAGUAACACGUGGAAAUCUACCCAGUAGCGGGGGAUAAGUCAGAGAAAUUUGAUCUAAUACCGCAUACGUCCUACGGGAGAAAGGCUUCGGCCACUAUUGGAUGAGUCCGCGUUAGAUUAGCUAGUUGGUGAGGUAACUGCUCACCAAGGCGACGAUCUAUAGCUGGUCUGAGAGGAUGAUCAGCCACAUUGGGACUGAGACACGGCCCAGACUCCUACGGGAGGCAGCAGUCGGGAAUAUUGGACAAUGGGCGAAAGCCUGAUCCAGCAAUACCGCGUGUGUGAAGAAGGCCUGCGGGUUGUAAAGCACUUUCAGUAGGGAAGAUAAUGACGUUACCUACAGAAGAAGCACCGGCUAACUCCG
This 449-nucleotide ribosomal RNA is filed under the name uncultured Thiothrix sp. RNAcentral describes it as "bacterial SSU rRNA". It matches the Rfam family "Bacterial small subunit ribosomal RNA", at positions 30 to 505 of the family's 1533-position model. Lineage: Bacteria; Pseudomonadati; Pseudomonadota; Gammaproteobacteria; Thiotrichales; Thiotrichaceae. The record is from RNAcentral.